UUAUUUAGUUGGUCUGUCGUUAUUAGCUGAAACGAAGAAUCAAAGCCGUCAGUUGGGUAGGUCUUUGUUUCUGAUAUCUAUGAUCAUUUGUAUUCGGUAGCUACGUUGAUGGAAUGAGUGAUUAGAGAAUGCUUUGUUUUCUUUAACCCUUCAAGUCUCUAAAUAGGCCGAAGCUUCCCAUGCAUCAAGAUAAGAGAUUAAAUCAAAGAUCAAAUUUUGUUUGGAUCUGGUGAUGCCCAUUACUGUUUCAUUAGAUUCUGAAUUUUGGUAUGUUUGAGUCAGAGAAGGAAGCCAAGAAAGAAGUUUUCACGAAGUAUCGAGUCCAGUGGAGUGGAGUUCUUGAUACUCUCACCAAAGGUGUAGUUUCUUUUUCUGUAUUCCACCAUUACUUAACCUUUUGCGACAAUUAUGUUUUCUUAAACACGAUCUGUUCUGGAUAAUAACUUGAUUUAUGCCAACACAGUGGUGGUCUUCAAUGUAGUUAUUGUUGCUUUGUA
Molecule: long non-coding RNA, 497 nt
Organism: Brassica rapa (field mustard)
Lineage: Eukaryota; Viridiplantae; Streptophyta; Magnoliopsida; Brassicales; Brassicaceae
Source: RefSeq, a predicted model, not a curated record